CCUACGAGUGGCAGCAGUGAGGAAUAUUGGUCAAUGGGCGAGAGCCUGCACCAGCCAAGUCGCGUGAGGGAGUACUGCCCUAUGGGUUGUAAACCUCUUUUGUCGGGGAGCAAAAGCAGGACGUGUCCGGCUGUGAGAGUACCCGAAGAAAAAGCAUCGUCUAACUACGUGCCAGCAGCCGCGGUAAUCCGGAGGAUGUGAGCGUUAUCCGGAUUUAUUGGGUUAAAAGGGUGCGCAGGCGGUUUUUUAAGUCAGCGGUAAAAUCGGGGGGCUCAACCCCAUCCAGCCGUUGAAACUGGGGAUCUAGAGUGUGCGAGAGGUAUGCGGAAUGCGUGGUGUAGCGGUGAAAUGCAUAGAUAUCACGCAGAACCCCGAUUGCGAAGGCAGCAUACCGGUGCACAACUGACGCUCAGGCACGAAAGCGUGGGUAUCGAACAGGAUUAGAUACCCUAGUAGUC
This 458-nucleotide ribosomal RNA is filed under the name uncultured bacterium. Its description in RNAcentral is "partial 16S ribosomal RNA". It matches the Rfam family "Bacterial small subunit ribosomal RNA", at positions 338 to 795 of the family's 1533-position model. The record is from RNAcentral.